This 331-nucleotide ribosomal RNA is filed under the name uncultured Pseudomonadota bacterium. RNAcentral's name for it is "bacterial SSU rRNA". It matches the Rfam family "Bacterial small subunit ribosomal RNA", at positions 29 to 351 of the family's 1533-position model. The record is from RNAcentral. Lineage: Bacteria; Pseudomonadati; Pseudomonadota.
AGCGAACGUUAGCGGCGGGCCUAACACAUGCAAGUCGAGCGAGAAAGGCGCAAGCUGAGUAAAGCGGCGGACGGGUGAGUAACACGUAGGUAAUCUUCCUUCGAGCGGGGGACAACAGAGCGAAAGCUUUGCUAAUACCGCAUACGUUCCCAGGGACUCUGGUCCUUGGGAGGAAAGCUAGGUAGCAAUAUCCGGCACUCGAUGAGGAGCCUGCGUCGCAUCAGCUAGUUGGUGGGGUAAUGGCCUACCAAGGCGAAGACGCGUAGCUGGUCUGAGAGGAUGAUCAGCCACACUGGGACUGAGACACGGCCCAGACUCCUACGGGAGGCUG